Molecule: ribosomal RNA, 254 nt
Filed under: uncultured bacterium
Lineage: Bacteria
Description: partial 16S ribosomal RNA
Rfam family: Bacterial small subunit ribosomal RNA
Source: RNAcentral
UACGAGGGGGGGCAAGCGUUGUUCGGAAUUAUUGGGCGUAAAGGGCGCGUAGGCGGUUUGACAAGUCUGAUGUGAAAUCUAUGGGCUCAACCCAUAGCCUGCAUUAGAAACUGUCGGGCUUGAGUAUGGGAGAGGUGAGUGGAAUUUCCGGUGUAGCGGUGAAAUGCGUAGAUAUCGGAAGGAACACCUGUGGCGAAAGCGGCUCACUGGACCAUAACUGACGCUGAGGCGCGAAAGCUAGGGGAGCAAACAGG